CGAUGAUAGCUUGCUAUCAGGCGUCGAGCGGCGGACGGGUGAGUAAUGCUUGGGGAACUGCCCAGUCGAGGGGGACAACUAUUGGAAACGAUAGCUAAUACCGCAUACGCCCUACGGGGGAAAGGAGGGGACUCUUCGGAGCCUUUCGCGAUUGGAUGUACCCAAGUGGGAUUAGCUAGUUGGUGAGGUAAUGGCUCACCAAGGCGACGAUCCCUAGCUGGUUUGAGAGGAUGAUCAGCCACACUGGAACUGAGACACGGUCCAGACUCCUACGGGAGGCAGCAGUGGGGAAUAUUGCACAAUGGAGGAAACUCUGAUGCAGCCAUGCCGCGUGUAUGAAGAAGGCCUUCGGGUUGUAAAGUACUUUCAGCGAGGAGGAAAGGUUGUUAGUUAAUAGCUGACAGCUGUGACGUUACUCGCAGAAGAAGGACCGGCUAACUCCGUGCCAGCAGCCGCGGUAAUACGGAGGGUCCGAGCGUUAAUCGGAA
Molecule: ribosomal RNA, 488 nt
Filed under: uncultured Gammaproteobacteria bacterium
Lineage: Bacteria; Pseudomonadati; Pseudomonadota; Gammaproteobacteria
Description: bacterial SSU rRNA
Rfam family: Bacterial small subunit ribosomal RNA
Source: RNAcentral